This 253-nucleotide ribosomal RNA is filed under the name uncultured bacterium. RNAcentral describes it as "partial 16S ribosomal RNA". It matches the Rfam family "Bacterial small subunit ribosomal RNA", at positions 524 to 776 of the family's 1533-position model. The record is from RNAcentral.
UACGUAGGGUCCGAGCGUUGUCCGGAGUUACUGGGCGUAAAGGGCGCGCAGGCGGCGGUGCUGGCCCGGCGUGAAAGCCCCCGGCUUAACCGGGGAGGGUCGUCGGGGACCGCACCGCUUGAGGGCGGUAGGGGCCGGUGGAAUGCCUGGUGUAGUGGUGAAAUGCGUAGAGAUCAGGCAGAACACCUGGGGCGAAGGCGGCCGGCUGGGCCGUCCCUGACGCUGAGGCGCGAAGGCGUGGGGAGCGAACGGG